Molecule: ribosomal RNA, 497 nt
Filed under: uncultured bacterium
Lineage: Bacteria
Description: partial 16S ribosomal RNA
Rfam family: Bacterial small subunit ribosomal RNA
Source: RNAcentral
GACGAACGCUGGCGGCGUGCCUAAUACAUGCAAGUUGAGCGCUGAAGGUUGGUACUUGUACCAACUGGAUGAGCAGCGAACGGGUGAGUAACGCGUGGGGAAUCUGCCUUUGAGCGGGGGACAACAUUUGGAAACGAAUGCUAAUACCGCAUAAAAACUUUAAACACAAGUUUUAAGUUUGAAAGAUGCAAUUGCAUCACUCAAAGAUGAUCCCGCGUUGUAUUAGCUAGUUGGUGAGGUAAAGGCUCACCAAGGCGAUGAUACAUAGCCGACCUGAGAGGGUGAUCGGCCACAUCGGGACUGAGACACGGCCCAAACUCCUACGGGAGGCAGCAGUAGGGAAUCUUCGGCAAUGGACGAAAGUCUGACCGAGCAACGCCGCGUGAGUGAAGAAGGGUUUCGGAUCGUAAAACUCUGUUGGUAGAGAAGAACGUUGGUGAGAGUGGAAAGCUCAUCAAGUGACGGUAACUACCCAGAAAGGGACGGCUAACUACGUG